Molecule: ribosomal RNA, 492 nt
Filed under: uncultured bacterium
Lineage: Bacteria
Description: partial 16S ribosomal RNA
Rfam family: Bacterial small subunit ribosomal RNA
Source: RNAcentral
AGUGAACGCUGGCGGUAGGCCUAACACAUGCAAGUCGAACGGCAGCACAGUAAGAGCUUGCUCUUACGGGUGGCGAGUGGCGGACGGGUGAGGAAUACAUCGGAAUCUACUUUUUCGUGGGGGAUAACGUAGGGAAACUUACGCUAAUACCGCAUACGACCUACGGGUGAAAGCAGGGGAUCUUCGGACCUUGCGCGACUGAAUGAGCCGAUGUCGGAUUAGCUAGUUGGCGAGGUAAAGGCCCACCAAGGCGACGAUCCGUAGCUGGUCUGAGAGGGUGAUCUGCCACACUGGAACUGAGACACGGUCCAGACUCCUACGGGAGGCAGCAGUGGGGAAUAUUUGACAAUGGGCGCAAGCCUGAUCCAGCAAUGCCGCGUGGGUGAAGAAGGCCUUCGGGUUGUAAAGCCCUUUUGUUGGGAAAGAAAAGCAGCAUGUUAAUCCCCCGCUGUUCUGACGGUACCCAAAGAAUAAGCACCGGCUAACUUCGUG